Molecule: long non-coding RNA, 1771 nt
Filed under: Marmota monax (woodchuck)
Lineage: Eukaryota; Metazoa; Chordata; Mammalia; Rodentia; Sciuridae
Source: RNAcentral
GUGGAUUAAAUGGCUCACCUCUUGCUUGCCACUCAGCACAUGAAGUCACUUUUUUACUUCCUAAGUGUCAUAUAAUAACUUGUUAGGAUGCAUAACCCAGUGUAGUAUUGCUCUGGUAAAUAUGCCAAAGCAAUUUAUAACCUUGAUACAUCUACUAUGUAGCAAUAGCAAGAAAACAACCUGAUUAAAAAAUGAGCACAGAACCUGGGAAGACAUUUCUUAAAAGGAGACGUAUGAAUGGCCAAUGGGUAUGUGAACACAUACUUGACAUCACUAAUCAUCAGGGAAAUGCAGAUUAAAACCACAAUGAGGUGUCAUCUCAUGGCUGUCAGGAUGGCCACUAUCUAAAAUACAAAAGCACAGAAGUGUUGGUAAAGAGGUAAGGAAAAGAGAACCCUUGUGUGCUGUGGAGUGGAAGGUAAAUUAGUACAGCCAUUAUUGAAAGCAGUCUGGAGUUUCUUCAAAAUUUAAUAUUAGAACUAUCACAUGAUUUAGCAAUCCCACUAUUGGAUAUAUAUCCAAAGGAAAUGAAAUCAGCUCAUCAGAGACACUGCACUCCAUGUUCUCUGCAGCAUUAUUCAUAGAUAGAAAAUCAACUUAUGUUUAUCAAUGAAUAAAUGGAUAAAGAAAAUGUGGUGUAUAUACACACACAGAUCUAUAUACACUAUGGAAUAUUAUUUUAUUUAGGCUUAGGAGUGAAUUCUAAGCUUUCUGUGACUCUAACAAAAUAGCUGAGAUAGUUAACUUAUAAAAAAGAAGGUGUUUAUUUUGGCUCACAGUUUUGGAGCUUCAGUCCAUGAAUGGCAUGCCCACAGCUUUGGCCCUUGGUGUGUGAAAUGGCAAUGUCAGGGAGCAUGUGGUAGAGCAAACUGCUCACUUCAUGGCCAGGAAACUAAAGAGAGAAGAAAGAAGAGAGUAGGGUUCCAUAAUUCCCUUCAAGGGCACAGCCCCAAUGACCUAAGGACCUUCCAUGAGGCCCCAUCUCCUCAAGGUCCCACUGUCUUCCAAUAGGUCACCCUGGUAGCCUUUAACACAUGGACAUUUGGGGGAACAUUCCAGACCCUGACCAUACCCGUGGAUGACCUUGGAGGACAUCAUUCUGGGUGAAAUGAACCAGAUCCAGAACAACUAACACUGCAUGGUCUUACUUGUGUUUGCAAUAUUAAAAUACAAACAAACAAACAAAUAAAAACUCAUAAAAGUAGAGCACAGAAUGGAGACUAUUGGACUAUCAGAGGGAGGGUAAGGGGAGAGUGGAGGAUGCCUGUCAUUUCAUUUAGACAAGAUGGAGACCAUUGUGCAGAAUGGUGACUAUGGUUGAAAAUUAUGUGUUGUAGGUUUCAAAAUUAUUAAGAGUAAGUUUGAAAUAUCCUCCCCACAAAAAUGAUAAGAAGCUGAAGAGAUAGAUUUGUUAAUUAGCUUGGUUUAGCAAUUUCAUGUUUUAAAACAUCAUGUUGUAUGCCAAAAUACAUUCAGUUAUUUUUUUUUCUAUUAGAAAAGAAAGACUCUGUAACACGGUCAGGAGAAAAAGUUUGGAGUGCUGUAUGAUGUGAGGAUCCCAGAGUUAGGAUAAAUAGGGCAUCAGAGCCAUUUUGAAAGUUCUUUUAUUGUGUGCCAAGAUUAGAAGUAUCAGAAACUUAUAGCAUAAUAAAUUAAUACCAUGAACUUUAGAACUGGCUGUGCUGCUCACCAGCUGUGUCAUCUUGGGUAAGCUACUUAAACUUUCAGUUUUUUUUUUUUGAAAACAAUGGCAAUAACAAUAAAAUUUAAC